This 1071-nucleotide long non-coding RNA is filed under the name Homo sapiens (human). RNAcentral's name for it is "HSALNT0249159". The record is from RNAcentral. Lineage: Eukaryota; Metazoa; Chordata; Mammalia; Primates; Hominidae.
CAGGUGCUGAGCAUGUGGGACAGAUGCUGCUGGCUAGCUUCCCCAACAGCUAUUUCAACCUCUUUCCCUUGCCUAUUUCUCUUACUACAGAGGCUAAAAAUAAGCGAAGAAAAAAAAAUCCCUUUCUCAGCCACCAAGGAGAGGCUCCGUUCUGGCCAAUGAGCCACAAAGGGAAAGCCUUCUGUGGGAUCGUCUGACAAGGACAGAGUCUUCUGGAAGCGUCCCUACCUCACAGCUGCGCAGAUGGUGCUGCACAGUGAGUGAUAGAUGCACUGCGUGUGACCACGGAGAGUCAGGGGUACAGAAGAAUGAAUGGAAGAAGCCAUGGCUGCUCAUUUCUGCUUGACCCUCUGACUCUGGGAGGACGUGCAGGUCUCCAGGAAAAUGCCUUGAAGACACAACAAAGCCGAGUAUACAGCCCCCCCAGGUCUCCUGCCUGAGUCACUACAUUCCUUAAGAGAUACAUGACCCUAGUCUUUGCCUUUUCUUCCGUAUGAGAUAAAGUCUGACAGGUUGGUGAUGACGCUUCUGUAAUCUAUAACACGCUGUACUCUUACACCCAAAGCUCGAUGUAUUCUGCUUGUAGCGUCUGAGCAAGUGUGAUGUGAUUUUCCAUGUACUGAACCUCCACCGCCUAUAUAACAAGCUGUGGGCUGAAAUCCUGUGUGGGACCUCAGUAAGACUUCCGAGUAAAACUAACUUUAAUUCUUGAAAAGCUUGGUUUAUCUUCUUCAUUUGACAGUUUCAGGAACAAGAGAAAGUCCCUGCAGAAUUUCAAGCAGGAGCAACUCAUGAUACAGUUUUUAAAAAGUGUCACAUGGUCAGGGAUGGGGUAGGAUGGUGGCAGGGAGAGAGAGGGGUGGGCAUAACUGUCAAAUGACUACAGGAGGGAUCCUUGUGGUGAUGGAACUGUUCAGAACCUUGACUGUAUCAGUGUCAAUAUCCUGGUUGUGAUCCCAGUAUUUUGCAAGAUGUUAUUACUGGGGGGAACUGGGUAACACAGCAUCUCUAUUAUGUCUUACAACUGUAUGCAAAUCUAUAAUGAUGUCAAAAUUAAAAGUUGAAUUUUUU